Molecule: ribosomal RNA, 253 nt
Filed under: uncultured bacterium
Lineage: Bacteria
Description: partial 16S ribosomal RNA
Rfam family: Bacterial small subunit ribosomal RNA
Source: RNAcentral
UACGAAGGGGGCUAGCGUUGCUCGGAAUCACUGGGCGUAAAGCGCACGUAGGCGGCUUACUAAGUCAGGGGUGAAAUCCUGGGGCUCAACUCCAGAACUGCCUUUGAUACUGGUGAGCUUGAGUCCGGAAGAGGUGAGUGGAACUGCGAGUGUAGAGGUGAAAUUCGUAGAUAUUCGGAGGAACACCAGUGGCGAAGGCGGCUCACUGGCUCGACACUGACGCUGAGGUGCGAAAGCGUGGGGAGCAAACAGG